Beta vulgaris subsp. vulgaris (sugar beet) is the source of this 740-nucleotide long non-coding RNA. RefSeq lists it as uncharacterized. Lineage: Eukaryota; Viridiplantae; Streptophyta; Magnoliopsida; Caryophyllales; Amaranthaceae. The record is from RefSeq and is a predicted model, not a curated record. The transcript is spliced from 3 exons.
UUUGAGUUUAGUCGUCUGUUUCUCCUUGCUCUACGAGGAAUAGGUUUCUGCUCUGAUCUACACGUUAUUGGAUGAAUGAGAUGGAACACGGAUUGUGGUGAAAAACAACUAUGUAUGAUUAACGUGGGAGACAAAUAUGGAAUAUAAAGUGACAACUAAGAAUAGCUACAGAUGGUAAAUUUUAUGAAGAUAGUAGCUUUGCAGAAUGCCAAAGGUUGGCUUCCUCUUCAAUAGAUCUAUUCGCGAUGUUAAGACACUGAAGACAACAGUUAAGGAUUGAUCAUGGAAGCUGUCGACAAGCAUUUGUGCUCACUGUAGCUCUUGUUGAAGAUGUUGAUCAGAUCGGAUGCCAUGUUGGGGUUGAAGGUUCAUAACAAGGAAUGGUGCAUGAGAGUAAGAUGCUGACAGCUCGAAUGAGUAACGUUAUUAAAUCAUUGCCAAAGCCAUCGUCACUUGAUGCAUGGCAAAAGUUUUGCAUAAUACAUAUUCGUGGACCUCAACUGAAGGGCGUGUAUAAAACUUGUAUAUGUUGGUUGCCUUAGCAAUACAUUCGGAAAUCUCUUGGGGUUGAACUCAGUGGCAUCCUCACCCCAUUGUUUAGGAUUUUUAUCAACUAACACUAAUGGUACUAAGGUUUCUAUUCUUGGUGGCAGCAAAAUGUCCCCAACUUUGGUUAGUUUGUAAAUCUUACAAUACAUCAGAAUAUGGUGGAUAUAAUCUAAGAACCUUGUUCACUAUUA